GCUAAUACCGGAUAACAACAGAUGAUGCCUAUCAACUGUUUAAAAGAUGGUUCUGCUAUCACUCUUGGAUGGACCUGCGGUGCAUUAGCUAGUUGGUAGGGUAACGGCCUACCAAGGCGAUGAUGCAUAGCCGAGUUGAGAGACUGAUCGGCCACAUUGGGACUGAGACACGGCCCAAACUCCUACGGGAGGCAGCAGUG
Molecule: ribosomal RNA, 200 nt
Filed under: uncultured Lactobacillus sp.
Lineage: Bacteria; Bacillati; Bacillota; Bacilli; Lactobacillales; Lactobacillaceae
Description: partial 16S ribosomal RNA
Rfam family: Bacterial small subunit ribosomal RNA
Source: RNAcentral